UUCCGGUUGAUCCUGCCGGAGGUCAUUGCUAUCGGGGUUCGAUUUAGCCAUGCUAGUCGUGCGGGUUCAGACCCGCGGCGUAUAGCUCAGUAACACGUGGCCAAACUACCCACCAGACAGGAACAACCUCGGGAAACUGAGGCUAACUCUUGAUACGCGUUGCACGGUUGAACACGGUGACGCUCAAACGCUCCGGCGCUGGUGGAUGUGGCUGCGGCCGAUUAGGUAGACGGUGGGGUAACGGCCCACCGUGCCGAUAAUCGGUACGGGUUGUGAGAGCAAGAGCCCGGAGACGGAAUCUGAGACAAGAUUCCGGGCCCUACGGGGCGCAGCAGGCGCGAAACCUUUACACUGCACGCCAGUGCGAUAAGGGGACCCCGAGUGAAAGGGCAUAUCGCCCUUUCUUUUCUCGAUUGUAGGGAGAUCCAGGAACAAGAGCUGGGCAAGACCGGUGCCAGCCGCCGCGGUAAUACCGGCAGCUCGAGUGAUGACCGAUUUUAUUGGGCCUAAAGCGUCCGUAGCUGGCCAUGCAAGUCCGUCGGGAAAUCCACCUGCUUAACAGGUGGGCGUCCGGCGGAAACUGCACGGCUUGGGACAGGAAGGCUCGAGGGGUACGUUCGGGGUAGGAGUGAAAUCCCGUAAUCCUGAACGGACCACCGAUGGCGAAAGCACCUCGAGAGGACUGAUCCGACAGUAAGGGACGAAAGCUGGGGUCUCGAACCGGAUUAGAUACCCGGGUAGUCCCAGCUGUAAACGAUGUUCGCUAGGUGUGUCACUCACUACGAGUGAGUGAUGUGCCGCAGGGAAGCCGCUAAGCGAACCGCCUGGGAAGUACGUCUGCAAGGAUGAAACUUAAAGGAAUUGGCGGGGGAGCACUACAACCGGAGGAGCCUGCGGUUUAAUUGGACUCAACGCCGGA
This 919-nucleotide ribosomal RNA is filed under the name uncultured archaeon. RNAcentral describes it as "bacterial SSU rRNA". It matches the Rfam family "Archaeal small subunit ribosomal RNA", at positions 1 to 922 of the family's 1478-position model. The record is from RNAcentral.